RNAcentral lists this ribosomal RNA (301 nucleotides) under uncultured bacterium. RNAcentral's name for it is "partial 16S ribosomal RNA". It matches the Rfam family "Bacterial small subunit ribosomal RNA", at positions 509 to 809 of the family's 1533-position model. The record is from RNAcentral.
CAGCCGCCGCGGGAAUACGAGGGGGGCAAGCGUUGUUCGGAAUUAUUGGGCGUAAAGGGUGCGUAGGCGGCUUGACAAGUCUUGUGCGAAAUCUAUGGGCUCAACCCAUAGUCUGCACGGGAAACUGUCGGGCUUGAGAAUGGGAGAGGUGAGUGGAAUUUCCGGUGUAGCGGUGAAAUGCGUAGAUAUCGGGAGGAACACCAGUGGCGAAGGCGAUCACCUGGGGUUGUUCUGACGCUGAGGAGCGAAAGCUAGGGGAGCGAACAGGAUUAGAUACCCGUGUAGUCCCUGUCUCUUAUAA